AGAACUUAGAUCAGAGGGAAAUAAAUUCUAGGCUUUGAAAGCCCCUGGAAGAGUAAGUCCCCUCAAGCCCAGGAAAAGAGGAAGAGGAUACCCAGCGCAGAGGGAGGCGAUCCUAGACACAACCUUUUGUCUGCAGGUUAUCAAGACUGUGUCCUAGAUUCCAAGGUGACAGUGCCACAGUGUCCUGGUGACCAGUUUUCUAUUUCUUCAUCUUCCUUCCAUGGUGGAGACAUGCCCAUUGAGGAUAAAAUAAGAACUAAGGAGACAGCCCGCAUCACACAACAUUUCACUCAGCUGUGUCGCUGAGCACUGACAAACUCAAUUUACAAAAGGCAAGAGUGAGUUGACACCAUGCUGUGGCAGUUGUCCUGAUGGGAGGAAACGACUCAUUUCCUUCCAAGGUAGAACCCACCUUCUCUGAGAAGCAAGCUUGUGCAUAAGAGUGUUGAAGACAAGGAGGAACUGUACAGAAGAAGAUGCAGGAGGUCCAAAGAGAAGUCAGAGACAAAAGAAGGAAGGAAGGAAGCAAGCACUGCUCAUGAAUGGUGUGGAACCUGGGCCCCAAGGCUUCUCUGAGGGAU
Molecule: long non-coding RNA, 581 nt
Organism: Mandrillus leucophaeus (drill)
Lineage: Eukaryota; Metazoa; Chordata; Mammalia; Primates; Cercopithecidae
Exons: 5
Source: RefSeq, a predicted model, not a curated record